AUACGGAGGAUGCGAGCGUUAUCCGGAUUUAUUGGGUUUAAAGGGUGCGUAGGCUGUUUGUCAAGUCAGGGGUGAAAUACCUGGGCUCAACCGAGGAAUUGCCUUUGAUACUGGCAGGCUUGAAUACUGUUGCCGGGGGAGGAAUGAGUAGUGUAGCGGUGAAAUGCAUAGAUAUUACUCAGAACACCGAUUGCGAAGGCAUCUCACGAAACAGCGAUUGACGCUGAGGCACGAAAGCGUGGGGAUCAAACAGGAUUAGAUACCCUGGUAGUCCACGCAGUAAACGAUGAUAACUAACCGUUGGCGAUAGACAGUCAGUGGCCAAGCGAAAGCGAUAAGUUAUCCACCUGGGGAGUACGGCCGCAAGGUUAAAACUCAAAGGAAUUGACGGGG
This 393-nucleotide ribosomal RNA is filed under the name uncultured bacterium. RNAcentral's name for it is "partial 16S ribosomal RNA". It matches the Rfam family "Bacterial small subunit ribosomal RNA", at positions 523 to 918 of the family's 1533-position model. The record is from RNAcentral.